AAGAGUUUAGGCAGGGAGGGGCCCCUGGGUGGCUCAGUCGGUUAAGCUUCUGACUCUGGCUUUCGGCUCAGGUCAUGAGCUCACAGUUCGUGAGUUUGAGCCCCGAGUCGGUCUCUUGUGCUGAUGGUGUGGGGUCUGCUUGGGAUUCUCUCUCUCCCUCUCUCUCUCUCUGCCCCUCCCCCGCUCAUGCUCUCUAUCUCUUGAAAUAAAUAAAUAAACUUAAAAAAAAAGAGUUUAGGCAGGGAGACGUUGGUCAUGUCUGUGUCGCAGGAGGACUGCUCGGGCUACGGGAUGGAGGAUGGGUGCAGGGGGGAGGUGAGAGGUGAUGGGGCCCCCUCGCUUUUUGAGAGUUCUUCUUUAGAUCCUAUUUCCUUCUGAGAGUGUGCUGAUUACUCAGCACCACAAGCUGGGGAGCACCUGCCAUUGUGCUCCCAUUACCGAUGGUGGUGGUGGGGACAGUUUGGAUGACAGGCUGCCCUUUGUCUCAGAAGGUCAUGCCUGACCCCCCAUUUGGCGUAGUUGUAAUCUUCGCUGAUUGCUGAUCACGGAUUUGUCUUGCAGCCGUCAGCUCUUGGUGUUCCUAGAGAGUUAAGGGGGCUGGAAUUUGUUGUCCGACAUCGUGGUUCAAGUCCGUGGGAACUGGGGCACCAGGCUUGAAUCUGUCAUGCCUCCGGUUCCUCGUUAGUAAACCGGGCACGGCGGUAGCCCUCUGCCCUGCACGCCCAGGACGGUAGUGAGAAGGACCCGCUUGUAAAUGUGCAACGUUUGGCUGACGUGUUUGUCGUGUUGAGAAGCUGUUAACCCAAGUGCCGCUCCCGGGCUCUAGGAGACCAUACGGUUAGGAAUGUGUGUGCUUUAAUCUUGGCUUUGUGGUUUCCUCACCGCCUGUCUCAGCCUCAGUUACUUAGUUUAUAGCAAGGGGGUCAUGGUAGGUGCCUACCUCAGGGUGUAUUGAAGCGAAAGCUCUUUUCAAACCACAGCUGUGGACGGGCCCUUCCUUCUUUUGGGAAAGGGACACAGGUCUUGGAGCGACACGUCCUAUGACUCGAUGGCUGCGUUUGGAGCGCAGAUCGGCCGCCCCCUCCAUCCAAGGGCGUGGACUCCACGGGUGGCGUGUGACCUUGCCUCGAUCCGUCGUAGCAGGGGCUGUGGCGCCCUGCCCAAUCCCCCAGCCGUCCGUGCUGUCCUUCUGCAAGGUCCCGCAAGCCUCCGACGGAGGGCUCUCUCUUGCUUUGCACCAGGUACAGGCUGGAGCUGGUGUCGCUGAGAGCAGCCCUCAGCUAGCAACGGAUGCAAGGUGACAGCUAAACACGGCUUCUCUGACCCUUGGGGGGGCCACCCGUGAGCCGUGUUCCACACCGUCUCCCGGGGGUGUCCAGUGCCACCGAGCCCCGGGUGCCCACGAUGACAACCCGUUUGUUAACACUCUCUGUACCGGCUCCCUUCCCUCCCCCUGUCAUCCCCAUCCCCUUAGCUUUGCCUCCUGGGGGCACUUCCCAAAUGAGUCACUCAAAUCCUCGUCUCAGCUCUGCCUCUUGGUGAACCCAGUUCGGGACACCCGAGAUGGUGGGGGGGUGAGGGAUAUGCUUCCCCCCGGAAACGAGGGAAGAGAUGCGAGGAGGCUUUUGAGAGACGGGGGGUCCGAGCAAGAUGGCGAGCACCCACAGGCUUAAAGACGAAAGGUGGCGACGAAGCAUUACCGGGAACGGCUGAGGUCAAGAGCACUGGUUGACUUCUAAGUCACAUGCUGUGCUGUGUAGCCACUGUCAUGGUCCUCAGACCUCCAGGAGAACUCACUCGGGUGGAACAGCACGGCACUCACGGUUGCUUUGCAGAAUCAAAAGGAAAGGCUGCAGCGUUCUUUGGGUUAGCUCGGGGCAGAGGGAAGACUCCAGUGACGGGGGGGGGGGGGCGAGACCCGGAUGAGACAGAGAAUUCGGCCGCGUGAUGUCUAGGAGAAAUAGAAGUCCCUGCAGGUAUUGUUGGGGUUGCGGUGCCCCCCACCACCUGUGGCAUACACGCUGGGGCCAUUUUGCUUACCUAGUAAGAGCAGGGUGAAGCCACAAGAUUGGACAACGUGGGGACACCCAGGUGCCUGCCAACAGGAGGUUAUGUGCGUGAAGCACCCAGCUCAGUGCUUGGUUCGCCCUCAUCACUCAGGAGACGGUAGAGAGGGCCCCUUCUGAGCAAGGUCGUAUGCUGUGCCAAGCAGGUGCUCCAAGAGCAUGAAAACUUGGCCUCGUAGAACCGGAUUUGAAAUAGUUGGGCCAACCCGGCGGGCUGAACCCCAACCCAUCCCCUGUCCUCGCCAAGUGCCUGGGGAUCCUCUCCAUGCCUCACCUUCUCCUUUGUUAAGCAGGAAACUCCAGCACAAAAUACGUGUUCUUUUGGUCGAUUUUCUGGACAUCCUUCAUUUGGGAGCAUCCAAAUCUCACACUCUGGGGGCAUUUUAUUUCUAAUUUGUGGCUAGACAUAUAUAGCCACAAAUAGGACUGCCGGUGAAAGUUGCUAAACGACCAGGAGGCAACUAUUUUCUGUUUUUCCUUUUGUCUUGAAGUUGUGGUAUCUUCCUGCCCGCCACAGGGCCUUUGCACACACCGUUCUCUCUGCUCAGAAUGCCAUCCUGCGGACACCACCCCUCCUUGCCGAGUUAAUUCCUACCUGUCUUUUGCGUCUCAGCCCGGGUCUGGCUUAUGAAGGAAAAUCCUCCUUGAUUCCGGGUUUCCUCUCUUACGGACUGUGUUCUUUCCCUCAACCUCAGCCUAUGUGAUUAUGUGAAUGGCGCCCGUGAGCCAGGAAGCACUACGAGGCAGGAACGGCGUCUGAUUUUCUCCCUAUUGUACUGCCAGCACCAGCACAGCUGGCCCAGAGAAGGUGAAUCAUUGCUUAAAAUGCAAGCAUUCCCAAGUCCUGGCUCAGCUUCCCCCCUCCCCACCCGUGUGCCUGAGGAGCAGUAAUUGUGCGGGGAUGCAAGUGCUCAUUACAUGAACAGAGGGCAGUGUGGGACAUAAAUCUAGAAAAUUGAAAGAUUGGCUCCUUCCAGGAACGGGAACCAUGGUCACCAGCAACUCCUGCCUCACAUGUUCCCUGAUUCAUCGUCUUCCUUUGGUUCUGAUUGGCCAAACCUCAGGGGGUGACUUAUCCUCUGGAGUUGGGUUAUGCCCUGCGCAUGUGGCCAGGGGGGCGGGAGCAUCCUCUGACUGACAGCCAGGGCUGCAUGCUGGCCUGGGGGGAGGAGGGUUCUCCAGAUGAAGGGCUUUCUCUUAGUGGGGCAUAGAUGGGCACUGAGCAGACACAACAAUAUGCAUCGGCCACGGUUGUGUGUGACAGUGUCCCUUUGGUACAAGGGCACCCGCCAUUUCUCAGAUUCACGAGCUGACCUUCAGGGCCCAGGUUAGCAACCUUCGUCCCCACCCCCCUUUCUGAAAUGAAGGGGUAGCAUCCCAGGAGGACGACAACCUGUCUCUCCACCUUAAGUCGCCCUCCCCUCUGAUCCCGUCAUGUGAUGAAGGGGUCACCAUGAGCUACAGUCUUAGCUGGAGGGCAUGAGAGGAGAGGAGGGGCCUGACUACCUCACUGAGGUCUCAAUGAAGAUCGGCAAUAAGGAAUCAUUACAAAUGCUCUGCUCAAGAUGCAUUGUAAAGAGUGAUUCACUCUGUGCCCGACAUUUCCUGCUAGCCCUGAAAGCUAAGCAGGGGCUGCCUGUGCCGCAAUAAAUGCCACUAUAUGAGCAUUA
This is a long non-coding RNA of Neofelis nebulosa (Clouded leopard), 3736 nucleotides long. RefSeq lists it as uncharacterized. Lineage: Eukaryota; Metazoa; Chordata; Mammalia; Carnivora; Felidae. The transcript is spliced from 4 exons. The record is from RefSeq and is a predicted model, not a curated record.